RNAcentral lists this ribosomal RNA (255 nucleotides) under uncultured bacterium. Its description in RNAcentral is "partial 16S ribosomal RNA". It matches the Rfam family "Bacterial small subunit ribosomal RNA", at positions 524 to 776 of the family's 1533-position model. The record is from RNAcentral.
GACGGAGGAUGCAAGUGUUAUCCGGAAUCACUGGGCGUAAAGCGUCUGUAGGUGGUUCGAAAAGUCCACUGUUAAAAAUUGAGGCUUAACUUCAAAGAUGCCGUGGAACUUUCAAACUAGAGUAUGGUAGGGGUAGAGGGAAUUCACAUGGAGGAGGUGGUGAAAUGCGUAGAUAUCGAGAGGAACACCUGCGGCGAAGGCGGGUUGCUGGGCUGACACUGACGCUGAUGCGCGAAAGCUAGGGGAGCGAACGGG